UGAGUAACCUGCCCUUAACUCUGGGAUAAGCCUGGGAAACUGGGUCUAAUACCGGAUAUGACUCCUCAUCGCAUGGUGGGGGGUGGAAAGCUUUAUUGUGGUUUUGGAUGGACUCGCGGCCUAUCAGCUUGUUGGUGAGGUAAUGGCUCACCAAGGCGACGGCGGGUAGCCGGCCUGAGAGGGUGACCCGGCCACACUGGGACUGAGACACGGCCCAGACCUCCGUACGGGAGCAG
This 236-nucleotide ribosomal RNA is filed under the name uncultured bacterium. RNAcentral describes it as "partial 16S ribosomal RNA". It matches the Rfam family "Bacterial small subunit ribosomal RNA", at positions 118 to 347 of the family's 1533-position model. The record is from RNAcentral.